UCAAUGAUGGAUUUGUGGUCCCUGCCCAGC
RNAcentral lists this non-coding RNA (30 nucleotides) under Mus musculus (house mouse). The record is from RNAcentral. Lineage: Eukaryota; Metazoa; Chordata; Mammalia; Rodentia; Muridae.